GGUGUAGACCCGAAACCGAGUGAUCUAUCCAUGGCCAGGUUGAAGCUGCCGUAAGAGGUACUGGAGGACCGAACCCACGCAUGUUGCAAAAUGCGGGGAUGAGCUGUGGAUAGGGGUGAAAGGCUAAACAAACUCGGAGAUAGCUGGUUCUCCCCGAAAACUAUUUAGGUAGUGCCUCGAGUAAGACACUGAUGGGGGUAAAGCACUGUUAUGGCUAGGGGGUUAUUGCAACUUACCAACCCAUGGCAAACUAAGAAUACCAUCAAGUGGUUCCUCGGGAGACAGACAGCGGGUGCUAACGUCCGUUGUCAAGAGGGAAACAACCCAGACCGCCAGCUAAGGUCCCAAAUGAUAGAUUAAGUGGUAAACGAAGUGGGAAGGCCCAGACAGCCAGGAUGUUGGCUUAGAAGCAGCCAUCAUUUAAAGAAAGCGUAAUAGCUCACUGGUCGAGUCGUCCUGCGCGGAAGAUGUAACGGGGCUCAAAUCUAUAACCGAAGCUGCGGAUGCCAGUUUACUGGCAUGGUAGGGGAGCGUUCUGUAGGCCGAUGAAGGUGCAUUGUAAAGUGUGCUGGAGGUAUCAGAAGUGCGAAUGCUGACAUGAGUAGCGAUAAAGCGGGUGAAAAGCCCGCUCGCCGAAAGCCCAAGGUUUCCUACGCAACGUUCAUCGGCGUAGGGUGAGUCGGCCCCUAAGGCGAGGCAGAAAUGCGUAGUCGAUGGGAAACAGGUUAAUAUUCCUGUACUUGAUUCAAAUGCGAUGUGGGGACGGAGAAGGUUAGGUUAGCAAGCUGUUGGAAUAGCUUGUUUAAGCCGGUAGGUGGAAGACUUAGGCAAAUCCGGGUCUUCUUAACACCGAGAAGUGACGACGAGUGUCUACGGACAUGAAGUAACCGAUACCACGCUUCCAGGAAAAGCCACUAAGCUUCAGUUUGAAUCGAACCGUACCGCAAACCGACACAGGUGGGCAGGAUGAGAAUUCUAAGGCGCUUGAGAGAACUCGGGAGAAGGAACUCGGCAAAUUGAUACCGUAACUUCGGGAGAAGGUAUGCCCUCUAAGGUUAAGGACUUGCUCCGUAAGCCUUGGAGGGUCGCAGAGAAUAGGUGGCUGCGACUGUUUAUUAAAAACACAGCACUCUGCUAACACGAAAGUGGACGUAUAGGGUGUGACGCCUGCCCGGUGCUGGAAGGUUAAUUGAAGAUGUGCAAGCAUCGGAUCGAAGCCCCAGUAAACGGCGGCCGUAACUAUAACGGUCCUAAGGUAGCGAAAUUCCUUGUCGGGUAAGUUCCGA
This 1286-nucleotide ribosomal RNA is filed under the name human gut metagenome. Its description in RNAcentral is "bacterial LSU rRNA". It matches the Rfam family "Bacterial large subunit ribosomal RNA", at positions 706 to 1986 of the family's 2925-position model. The record is from RNAcentral.